UUUCCGUAGGUGAACCUGCGGAAGGAUCAUUACUGAGUGAGGGCCCCUCGGGGUCCAACCCCCCACCCAUGUUUAACGAACCUUGUUGCUUCGGCGGGCCCCCCUCACGGCCGCCGGGGCGCAUCUGCCCCCGGGCCCGCCCCCGCCGAAGCCAACUGUGAACGCUGUCUGAAGUAUGCAGUCUGAGACAAUUAUUAAAUUAAUUAAAACUUUCAACAACGGAUCUCUUGGUUCCG
This 236-nucleotide unclassified non-coding RNA is filed under the name plant metagenome. RNAcentral's name for it is "partial contains small subunit ribosomal RNA, internal transcribed spacer 1, and 5.8S ribosomal RNA". The record is from RNAcentral.